Molecule: transfer RNA, 78 nt
Filed under: Cutibacterium acnes
Lineage: Bacteria; Bacillati; Actinomycetota; Actinomycetes; Propionibacteriales; Propionibacteriaceae
Description: tRNA-Ala
Rfam family: tRNA
About the family: Transfer RNA (tRNA) molecules are approximately 80 nucleotides in length. Their secondary structure includes four short double-helical elements and three loops (D, anti-codon, and T loops).
Source: RNAcentral
UGGGGCAUUGGCGCAGUUGGUAGCGCGCUUCCAUGGCAUGGAAGAGGUCAGGGGUUCGAAUCCCCUAUGCUCCACUCG